This 895-nucleotide long non-coding RNA is filed under the name Papio anubis (olive baboon). Its description in RNAcentral is "lncRNA (ENSPANG00000039851.1)". The record is from RNAcentral. Lineage: Eukaryota; Metazoa; Chordata; Mammalia; Primates; Cercopithecidae.
CAGGGUGACGCGGCGGGCGACAGCGGUAAGGUCCUCCCGGACAGGCCCAGGGGCGAGGCGGCCGCGCAGGCGGAAAAGCCCAACAGCAAAACGUUCUUGGCGGCAGCGCAACAACGAGAACCGCGAGAACGCGUCCAGCAACAGCGACCACGACGACGUCACCUCGGGCACGCCCAAGGAGAAGAAAGCCCAGACCUCCAAGAAGAAGCAGAGCUCCAUGGCCAAGGUGUAGCGGCAGGCGUCCGCCGCAGACCUCCCCAUCGACUCCAGCGAGCGCUUCUAAUGAGAGAUGAUCCGCUGCGACAACGAAUGCCCCAUCGAGUGGUUCCGUUUCUCGUAUACCAGGUGUGGUGGCUCACGCCUGUAAUCCCAGCACUUUGGGAGGCCAAGGCAGGCGGAUCACCUGAGGCUGGGAGUUUGAGACCAGAGCCUGACCAACAUGGAGAAACCCCAUCUCUACUAAAAACACAAAAUUAGCCGGGAGUGGUGGCGCAUGCCUUUAGUCCCAGCAACUCAGGAAGCUGAGAUAGGAGAAUCGCUUGAACCGGGAAGGCAGAGGUUGCGGUGAGCCAAGAUCACUCCAUUGCACUCCAGCCUGGACAACAACAGCGAAAGUCCGUCUCAAAAAUAAAUAAACAAAAUAAAAUAAAAAAUAAAACUGUAUUUAUUAAUGUAUUUAUUCUGGAGACACUUGAGGUGGGAGGAUCACUUGAGCCUCAACUCCCCAGGCUCAAAUGAUCCUCCCACCUGAGCCUCCCGAGUAGCUAGGACUACAGGUGUGCACCACCAUGCCUGGCUACUAAUUUUUAAAUUAUUUGUAGAGAGGAGGUCUCCCUAUGUUGCUAGGCUGGUCUUGAACUCCUGGGCUCAAGCAAUCCUCCCUCCUCAGCCCCUC